GGCAGCCAGUCAAUGUUCUCUCUCAUUGAUGUUUCUAUCUCUCUCACCCUUUCCCUUCUUCUCUCUCUAAAAUCAGUAAAGAAACAAAAAUUUAUAAACUUCAGGUCUAAAGAGAAUGCACACAGGAGGAGUUCUGAACUGGACAUUAAGGAAUGUGAAUUUUAUCAUUAGGAAUCUAAAAGUUAGAGUGAGAGGACCCUGAAAUGAAAAAACAAAGCAAAACACGCUUAUGUUCAUGCUGAAAAGUGAACAUCUCAGAAUAGACUUAUGCUUUCUCAGCCUUGUCUUCAUUUCUUGGCUGCAGUCUCCAUUGGAAUUGAUGACUGAACCAAGCCUGAUUGCUUUUUGUUAGGAGGGUCUCAGAAGAUAUGAGUAUGGGAAGAAUAAAGUGAAACAGCCCAAGAAUAUGAGAAUAGGAAUAUGGAUACUUUUAGUAUUCCAGGCAUUGAAAAUCUACCUCCUGCAGCCCACCCACCAGAUAUCUGAUGUGCCGAAGAGGGUGAAGAGACCAAAUCAAGACUGUAGGAGAUGAAUUGGGGAUUUGCUAGCAGUAAGAUCCCCCCCAGUAUGUAUUAUUCUUUAGAACUUGAUGUUCGAUAUUGAAGAUCAAAUCUAUUGUAUCUCCAGCAUGCAACUCAUAAGUCCCUCCUACAUUUUGGGUUUUAGUAUUGUUUGUAUGAUGCCUUCAUUUUUACAUAGCUGCACCUCAAAAGGAGUUGCUUCCUGGUAGGUUGUAUUGGGAGCCACUUGGCCAUAAAUUGAGUACAAGCCAUCCUGAAGUAUCUUCAGCUUCCAGUCAGCUACCUGACUCACACAACGAGGCUCAAGAGAUGCUAUUUUUCAUUUUGAAGAUAAUGGUCCAAACUUGGUUACACAGUGCUCACUGAUAGUCUUGAGUGACAGAAGAGUGAAGGCAACUGUGCUGAAGGAAACAGGCAAAUAGCACACUAACUAACAUUGAGAAGAUCCAUGGCUUCCAGCAUGAUCCCUGUGUCUCUGAAAGGCUUGCAUGGUAUAAAGGUGUAAUCUCCAUGAUCUCAAACUCAUUCUUUAGAAAGUAUUGCGGUGCUAUUUCUGGUCCAAGAUGGUGACAUAGGAGGCUCCUGAAUUCACCUCCUCCCAUAAGCACUUUAACAGUUCCACACAAAGAAACAAUUCCCUCAAAAAGAAAUCCAGAAACUGGCUGAGCAACUUGUACUCAUUGGGUGGGUAGAACCAAAGACAUAAUGUCCUCUGCCAGCAUGUCUGUCUUGGAGAAAGCUGUCCCUCCAGAUCUCACCAGUGCCAAACAACUCAGUUCUUCCCCAUAUGUCUCUGGUGCCUUUCAAGCUGCCUCCCCUGCUCUGGAUCCUGGAGGUAGCUAGUCCUAGUAAGUCUAUGUGCUGGCCUUUUAAAAGGAGCUGCCUGGGACUCCAGCAGCCUCAGCUUCCCACUGCUUUUUACAGCCAAAAGUUAUGGGGACUUCCCUUCCUGGCACUGAAACCCUGAGCUGGGGGCCAAGUGUGGGAUGAUGACCCCUGACUCCUCAGGGAGGAACUUCACAGCUGAGGUAUCCGCCACAUGUGGGUGUGGGACCAGCCUGUCCGCGCCUCCACCCCUCCUAACCUCCUACCAUUCUCGAUGUGGCUUCUUUAAUUCCAUAGUUGUAGGAUUUCCAUUCAGCUGGAUGUUAGGGGCUUCUGAAUGAUGGUUCCGUAGUUUAGUUAUAAUUUUGAUGUGGUUGUGGGAAGAGGCCAGUACCACAUUUCCCUUUGCUGCCAUCUUGACCGGAAGUCAAAGUAGAAAUAUUUCGAUUAACAGGUUGCUCCAUCUCUGUAUUUUGUAUGACUCAGGUCUUUGAAGAUAAUAAGAGUUCUAUCACACAUAGGAACUUCCACAUAUGCUGUUUCCUUUUAGAAUACUAUGUCCUCCAGCACCUUUUACCUAGUUAAUUCUUAUUUUUUCAGGCUUCAAAUUAGAAGUUACUUCUUCUAACCUCCCAGUCCCUAGUGUAGGUUUUUUAGCACAUCUAUAUUGCAUAAAUCCUUUAUGGUGAGUAUCUUGUAGUGUCCAAAACUGAGCUGCUCAUUUUCUAUCAAACUUGCUUUUUUCCACAGUCCUUUGCAUUUUGUUAAAUAGAAUUUGCAGCCUCCCAUUCGCUCUGACUAAUACUCUCAAGUCUCCUAACUGGUCUUUCUGCUUUCCCACUUUCACUCUUUAGUUUAUUCUCAAUGUAGCAAUCAUAUCAAGUCACUCCUUUGCUUCAUAAGUCUUUACAAAGGCCCAUGGGGCCCUGUGUGGUUUUUUAUUCCCUCCUUUGUUAUCUGUGACCUUAAGCCUCUGAUGCUUUAGCCACACUGAACUCUUUGUAGUUCCUUGAGCAUUUUAGGCACAUUCUUGCCUCGCAGUCUGUUUUUGCUCUUCCUUUUCACUGGAUAUUUCAGAUAUUUUCUAUCAUUUAGGUAGUUUGAAAAUUACAUGUAAAAUGGGUGAUUAAGAAUAAUUACUAGUAAGUAAUAACAUUGAAUGAAUUAAAAUGAUAUAAGCAGAAGGAUUACAAUGAUUUCCAUGGCACUGUGGUUCUCAGAGCAGUAACAGAUUGUUUAAAUGCUUGGUUUCUCAUAAAUAUUUUCUACUGCCAGAGGACUAAAUAUCUAAUCUUAAAGACUAAAACCAGUGCAGUUAUUUAGGGUUUGUAAAGGGCUGUUAUUUAUUUUAUUUUAUUUUUUUCACAAAAAAUGAAAAUAUACUU
Molossus molossus (Pallas's mastiff bat) is the source of this 2731-nucleotide long non-coding RNA. RefSeq lists it as uncharacterized. The transcript has 5 exons. The record is from RefSeq and is a predicted model, not a curated record. Lineage: Eukaryota; Metazoa; Chordata; Mammalia; Chiroptera; Molossidae.